Molecule: transfer RNA, 89 nt
Filed under: Neonectria ditissima
Lineage: Eukaryota; Fungi; Ascomycota; Sordariomycetes; Hypocreales; Nectriaceae
Rfam family: tRNA
About the family: Transfer RNA (tRNA) molecules are approximately 80 nucleotides in length. Their secondary structure includes four short double-helical elements and three loops (D, anti-codon, and T loops).
Source: Rfam by way of RNAcentral
UCCUGUGUGGUGUAACGGUCAACAUUUCGCGUUUUCAAACCUAGUGUUUAAAGGCCGCGAGGCUCUGGGUUCGAUUCCCAGCACAGGAG